CACUAAGAAGCUUACAUAGCAUCAGCCUUUUAAGUUGAAGAAGGAAACCAUUUCCUUAGUGA
Molecule: transfer RNA, 62 nt
Filed under: Trimeresurus sichuanensis (Sichuan pitviper)
Lineage: Eukaryota; Metazoa; Chordata; Lepidosauria; Squamata; Viperidae
Description: tRNA-Lys
Source: RNAcentral